GACAGAGGGGGCAAGCGUUGCUCGGAAUCACUGGGCGUAAAGGGCGCGUAGGCGGGGAGGUAAGUCGGGUGUGAAAUCCCUCGGCCCAACCGAGGAACUGCGCCCGAGACUGCUUCUCUUGAGUCCCGGAGAGGAAGAUGGAAUUCCCGGUGUAGCGGUGAAAUGUGUAGAGAUCGGGAGGAACACCGGUGGCGAAGGCGGUCUUCUGGACGGUGACUGACGCUGAGGCGCGAAAGCGUGGGGAGCAAACGGG
Molecule: ribosomal RNA, 253 nt
Filed under: uncultured bacterium
Lineage: Bacteria
Description: partial 16S ribosomal RNA
Rfam family: Bacterial small subunit ribosomal RNA
Source: RNAcentral